GAUGAACGCUGGCGGCGUGCCUAAUACAUGCAAGUCGAGCGAACAGACGAGGAGCUUGCUCCUCUGACGUUAGCGGCGGACGGGUGAGUAACACGUGGAUAACCUACCUAUAAGACUGGGAUAACUUCGGGAAACCGGAGCUAAUACCGGAUAAUAUAUUGAACCGCAUGGUUCAAUAGUGAAAGACGGUUUUGCUGUCACUUAUAGAUGGAUCCGCGCCGCAUUAGCUAGUUGGUAAGGUAACGGCUUACCAAGGCAACGAUGCGUAGCCGACCUGAGGGGGUGAUCGGCCACACUGGAACGUAGACACGGUCCAGACUCCUACGGGAGGCAGCAGUAGGGAAUCUUCCGCAAUGGGCGAAAGCCUUACGGAGCAACGCCGCGUGAGUGAUGAAGGUCUUCGGAGCGUAAAACUCUGUUAUUAGGGAAGAACAAAUGUGUAAGUAACUAUGCACGUCUUGACGGUACCUAAUCAGAAAGCCACGGCUAACUACGUG
This 497-nucleotide ribosomal RNA is filed under the name uncultured bacterium. RNAcentral's name for it is "partial 16S ribosomal RNA". It matches the Rfam family "Bacterial small subunit ribosomal RNA", at positions 28 to 507 of the family's 1533-position model. The record is from RNAcentral.